Molecule: ribosomal RNA, 460 nt
Filed under: uncultured bacterium
Lineage: Bacteria
Description: partial 16S ribosomal RNA
Rfam family: Bacterial small subunit ribosomal RNA
Source: RNAcentral
CCUACGGGAGGCAGCAGUGAGGAAUAUUGGUCAAUGGACGCAAGUCUGAACCAGCCAUGCCGCGUGCAGGAAGACGGCUCUAUGAGUUGUAAACUGCUUUUGUACGAGGGUAAACGCAGAUACGCGUAUCUGUCUGCAAGUAUCGUACGAAUAAGGAUCGGCUAACUCCGUGCCAGCAGCCGCGGUAAUACGGAGGAUUCAAGCGUUAUCCGGAUUUAUUGGGUUUAAAGGGUGCGUAGGCGGUCGGAUAAGUUAGAGGUGAAAUCCCGAGGCUCAACUUCGGAAUUGCCUCUGAUACUGUUCGGCUAGAGAGUAGUUGCGGUAGGCGGAAUGUAUGGUGUAGCGGUGAAAUGCUUAGAGAUCAUACAGAACACCGAUUGCGAAGGCAGCUUACCAAGCUACGACUGACGUUGAGGCACGAAAGCGUGGGGAGCAAACAGGAUUAGAUACCCGGGUAGUC